Beta vulgaris subsp. vulgaris (sugar beet) is the source of this 952-nucleotide long non-coding RNA. RefSeq lists it as uncharacterized. The record is from RefSeq and is a predicted model, not a curated record. The transcript is spliced from 3 exons. Lineage: Eukaryota; Viridiplantae; Streptophyta; Magnoliopsida; Caryophyllales; Amaranthaceae.
AUGAACAAUUCAACCAUCCUUUAGAAGGUGGUCUUUUUGAACCUUAUCAAAAGUUUCCAAUAUUAAAGAAACCACUUAUUCCUAUUAAGUGGUGAUUUUGAUUUUAUAUUUUUUUAAAUUUUUUUUUCAUAUAUAUUCAUGUACGUGUAUAUAAUAACUAAUAUUACUAAUUACUAAUUAAAAAAAAAAUCAACAGACCCACAUAUAUAUCCACUAAAAGUUAGUUAUCUCUAUUUUAAAAAAGUUAAAUCCUAAAUAUACUAUUCUUUAAUUACUUGAUUUACCUUUAAUUUACUUACUCCAUCGAUCAUUAACAAAUUAUUGCCCAAUGUAAUUUGAAAGCCAAUAAAAAAAAAAAAAAGCCAAAAGCGUCUUCCUCAAACACGUCCACUACCGAUAGAACAAUACUGCACCACCCGCCUGAAAUUGCGCCAAAAUUCAAUCGCCGGAAACUGUCGCUUUACCUCGCCGGCCAAUUCGUCUGCCAGUGGAGUCAGGUUUGUCGUCCAAUUACGUCUUCGCCGGUCUCUCAAUUUCGUCUGCCAGUGGAGUCUUGUUCGAUUACCACCACCACGCCGCAGCAACGCCACCACGCCCCAGCAACGCCACCACGCCAUAGUGACGUAAUUCGUCCGCCAGUAUCCAGCGGAUUCAUAAGAUUCAGCCACACAUUUCGAAUGGACAUUAAGAAAAUAAAAAAGAAUCCGACAAUCAAGUCGAAAAAACCUGAGUGUCCUCGUCAACACCAAGAAUCUCAUGACUGUGGUUAUUAUGUGUGCCGAUAUAUGCUCGAGACUGUAGAGAAAAGGCGACAAGCAAUUCCUGAUAAGGUAUCAUUCUUAAGAACACUAACAUUAUAUUUAUGAAUGUAUUUGUUAUGUGUCGAUAAAUUGUUUUGUUAUAGCAUAUUCAGCUUGUAUGUUUAUCUAUUUAAUAUUUUAUAUUUUGCAGU